CUAUUCUGUUUGCUAAGAUACUUUCUCUUCAAAUCCUUCUCCUAUAGAGAGGUUUCUAUGAGCCAUGGGAUGGGAUGGGGGUGGCCCUCUUCUGGGAUCCAGAGCUCCGUGGAGAGCCCUCUGACUUGGGUCCUGACAUCUUAUGCAGAGCUUGUCUUCAUCUUGCUUCCCUCCUCCAUCAGUCCUCCAGACCUUGAGGACAGGCACUGAGUCUUACCACAGUGUUGAGGCUCCAAGAUGGCGGUCAUCUCCCAAUAAUAUUUUCUAACCUGAGCUGAUUUCUUUAUGACGUAAGAAUUGAAGCCACAAGAGGUUCUGUGACCUGCCUAAAGUCAUAUGCAAAUUAACCAGAUCUUGGCUCCAGUUGUCUACUUUGACUCAAGUGCUGUUUCCCUUAAACCACACAGCUCCUCAGGUCGGGUCAAGCAUAACCUGGAUCUCACCACAUUCUUAUUGGAUUGAAAGAUGUAAUGUUAAUGACGCAAUAGACUCGGAAUCAGCCAAUCAGCAAAUGCUCCUUGAACACCUUGAUGUGGAAGGUACAGGUAGAGAAGGUUUUAACAUGCAAGGCAUUCUGUUUGACAAUCAAACUCAAGGCACACAUAGGCUUAGUGAAGUCCUCCCUCCAUUCUUCACUGCCAGGUGAUAUAGUGAGAAGAUGGAGCCAACACUCAGCCCACUGCCCACCAGCAGUAAGGCCAAAGGAAAAGGACAAUCCUCACCUAUCAACAUGGGCGAUGAAACCAUGGAGAAGCAAGUUCAAGGGUCUUCUGGCUUUGCAAAGGGUUGGAUCUGGAUCACUGAAUACGUGUUGGAAAAUGGAAUAGUGCUUUCCCGUUAAGUCCAUGUAUAUGGCUCUCAUGCAGCAUUCCUGACAAGGGCAGACCAGUUUUUCUUCAGCUACCAUAGUUUCCACCUGGGUGGAUUCUUCAUAGUUGGACCUGGAAGAAAUCUUGAAGAGCAUUAAGCGCAGGGUUCCCUUCUGCCCCACUAUCAGACUGGGGUUCCUAGAUAAACUUGCCCCUCUCCAAAUUUU
This is a non-coding RNA of Macaca mulatta (Rhesus monkey), 1036 nucleotides long. Lineage: Eukaryota; Metazoa; Chordata; Mammalia; Primates; Cercopithecidae. The record is from RefSeq and is a predicted model, not a curated record.